Molecule: ribosomal RNA, 468 nt
Filed under: uncultured bacterium
Lineage: Bacteria
Description: partial 16S ribosomal RNA
Rfam family: Bacterial small subunit ribosomal RNA
Source: RNAcentral
GACGAACGCUGGCGGCGUGCUUAACACAUGCAAGUCGAACGGAAAGGCCCUGCUUUUGCGGGGUGCUCGAGUGGCGAACGGGUGAGUAACACGUGAGUAACCUGCCCUUGACUUUGGGAUAACUUCAUGAAACUGGGGCUAAUACCGGAUAGGAGCUCCUGCUUCAUGGUGGGGGUUGGAAAGUUUCGGCGGUUGGGGAUGGACUCGCGGCUUAUCAGCUUGUUGGUGGGGUAGUGGUUUACCAAGGCUUUGACGGGUAGCCGGCCUGAGAGGGUGACCGGCCACAUUGGGACUGAGAUACGGCCCAGCCUCCUACGGGAGGCAGCAGUGGGGAAUAGUGCACAAUGGGCGGAAGCCUGAUGCAGCCACGCCGCGUGCGGGAUGACGGCCUUCGGGUUGUAAACCGCUUUCGCCUGUGACGAAGCGUGAGUGACGGUAAUGGGUAAAGAAGCACCGGCUAACUACGUG